RNAcentral lists this ribosomal RNA (112 nucleotides) under Acanthosepion pharaonis. The record is from RNAcentral. Lineage: Eukaryota; Metazoa; Mollusca; Cephalopoda; Sepiida; Sepiidae.
UACGGCCACAUCGCAUUGAAACACGGGAUCCCGUACGAUCACCGAAUUUAAGCAAAGUCGCGCCUGGGCAGUAUCUAGAUGGGUGACCGAUUGCAAAUACCAAGUGCUGUAA